RNAcentral lists this unclassified non-coding RNA (933 nucleotides) under Hevea brasiliensis (rubber tree). Lineage: Eukaryota; Viridiplantae; Streptophyta; Magnoliopsida; Malpighiales; Euphorbiaceae. The record is from RNAcentral.
AAAAAAAAAAAAAAAAAAGACUCCUGAUUUGUGUAGUGGUAGCCUCAAUUUUAGUGCAAGCUGAUGCCAAACAUUCUGAGUUGUUCCAUUCAUGACUUCUUAUUUAGAGAGUUCUCUUAGAUCCAAAUAAAUCGGGCAAAUGCUUAAUUAAUUAGGUGAUUAGUUAUUAAUUCCAAUGUGCAAAAACACAGAGACUAAUCAUUAGUUCAAUGUUUAAAUUGAUCAAACAUGACUGAGGAAAAAUAAAUUUGUGAUCUAGGAUUUAGGAAUGGCAAAUUCUUUUCAUGAGUCAUUAAAUGUAGGAUGAUGGUGAUAUAAAAGAUCUAACUGAUAGAACAUAGAAGUAAUGCCCCAAUUUUAUUAUCCACUUAUUUGUGAGUUAGAAACUUGAAAAUACUCUCCUAGAGGCUAGAGCAUGAAACAUGGUGAAUAGUAUAAUGCCAUUGUCUACAAACAGAAAACAAGGAAGAAUAGUUUUCCUUGGAGGGAGCCUGUUACACGUCUGCUAAAGCCUUCCUUUUAUUCUGUUAUUUCCCAUGUUAUUAGAAGUAUUAGCCACUUGAAUUCUGAUUUUUGUGUUACAUCAUGGCUGUUCAAAUUUUGAAAUUUCUGAUUGUAAUGCUUGACAAUGAUCCCUCUACAACCUCCAAAUACAUUCAUUUAAGUUGCCUUAAUAAAUCGAUGGAUAUGAAGAACUUCACUUGUUGAAAAUUGGGCUAGUUUUUUUUUGGAAAUGUUUUCUUAAAAAAACUGUAAAAUAGAGUUUCGUAUUUACAUGUACCAGUUUCCAAAUGAAGAACUGGAAAACUAGUUUUUUAGUUUUUGAAAUCUAAGUAAGAUUUGGAAAAUAGUUUUAAGUUCUUUUCCAUUGUUUCCCUUUAUAACAAAAGUUUAGUUUUUUAACUAUUUUUCAAAUUGAAAAUAAUAUUUUUU